This 253-nucleotide ribosomal RNA is filed under the name uncultured bacterium. RNAcentral describes it as "partial 16S ribosomal RNA". It matches the Rfam family "Bacterial small subunit ribosomal RNA", at positions 524 to 776 of the family's 1533-position model. The record is from RNAcentral.
UACGGGGGGGGCAAGCGUUGUUCGGAAUUACUGGGCGUAAAGGGCUCGUAGGCGGCCAACUAAGUCAGACGUGAAAUCCCUCGGCUUAACCGGGGAACUGCAUCUGAUACUGGAUGGCUUGAGAUUGGGAGAGGGAUGCGGAAUUCCAGGUGUAGCGGUGAAAUGCGUAGAUAUCUGGAGGAACACCGGUGGCGAAGGCAGCCUCCUGGGCCAGCACUGACGCUCAUGCACGAAAGCGUGGGGAGCAAACAGG